Molecule: transfer RNA, 72 nt
Filed under: Nippostrongylus brasiliensis
Lineage: Eukaryota; Metazoa; Nematoda; Chromadorea; Rhabditida; Heligmosomidae
Rfam family: tRNA
About the family: Transfer RNA (tRNA) molecules are approximately 80 nucleotides in length.
Source: Rfam by way of RNAcentral
ACAUCGGUAGCACAGUGGCUAGUGCAGUCCGCCAGAAACAGAAGGACGCGGGUUCAACUCCUGCCCGAUGAC